ACUGAUAACAAUCAAAAUACUAAUUCUGUUACUAGUAUUAUUAAUACUAGUAAUAAUGAUGAAGCAGAAGAAGUGGCUUUGAUACGUUACUCGCAACAAUCAGAUUUUCGUCGGGAUAUAAUAAAAGGAUCCAUGCGUGCUCAAAGACGCAAAACGGUUACUUGGGAAAUGUUUCAAGCAAAUGCUAAUUCCCCGCUUUUUUUGGAUCGAAUAAACAAAAUA
Molecule: unclassified non-coding RNA, 222 nt
Filed under: Hevea brasiliensis (rubber tree)
Lineage: Eukaryota; Viridiplantae; Streptophyta; Magnoliopsida; Malpighiales; Euphorbiaceae
Source: RNAcentral